RNAcentral lists this ribosomal RNA (472 nucleotides) under uncultured bacterium. Its description in RNAcentral is "bacterial SSU rRNA". It matches the Rfam family "Bacterial small subunit ribosomal RNA", at positions 28 to 489 of the family's 1533-position model. The record is from RNAcentral.
GAUGAACGCUAGCGACAGGCCUAACACAUGCAAGUCGAGGGGCAGCGGGAGCGAAGCUUGCUUUGCUUGCCGGCGACCGGCGCACGGGUGAGUAACACGUAUCCAACCUGCCCUUUACUCGGGGAUAGCCUUUCGAAAGAACGAUUAAUACCCGAUGGCAUAAUGAUUCCGCAUGGUUUCAUUAUUAAAGGAUUCCGGUAAAGGAUGGGGAUGCGUUCCAUUAGGUUGUUGGUGAGGUAACGGCCCACCAAGCCUUCGAUGGAUAGGGGUUCUGAGAGGAAGGUCCCCCCACAUUGGAACUGAGACACGGUCCAAACUCCUACGGGAGGCAGCAGUGAGGAAUAUUGGUCAAUGGGCGUUAGCCUGAACCAGCCAAGUAGCGUGAAGGAUGAAGGCUCUAUGGGUCGUAAACUUCUUUUAUAUAAGAAUAAAGUGCAGUAUGUAUACUGUUUUGUAUGUAUUAUAUGAAUAA